Molecule: ribosomal RNA, 443 nt
Filed under: uncultured bacterium
Lineage: Bacteria
Description: bacterial SSU rRNA
Rfam family: Bacterial small subunit ribosomal RNA
Source: RNAcentral
UAGUCCACGCCGUAAACGAUGGAUACUAGGUGUUUGGAGUGUUAACCCUCUGAGUGCCGGAGCUAACGCAUUAAGUAUCCCACCUGGGGAGUACGGUCGCAAGGCUAAAACUCAAAGGAAUUGACGGGGCCCGCACAAGCGGUGGAGUAUGUGGUUUAAUUCGAAGCAACGCGCAGAACCUUACCUGGCCUUAACAUCCCAGGACAACCCUAGAGAUAGGGCUUUCUCUUCGGAGACCUGGUGAUAGGUGCUGCAUGGCUGUCGUCAGCUCGUGUCGUAAGAUGUUGGGUUAAGUCCCGCAACGAGCGCAACCCCUUUUACUAGUUGCCAGCAUUUAGUUGGGGACUCUAGUGAUACUGCCGGUGAUAAACCGGAGGAAGGUGGGGAUGACGUCAGGGUCAUCAUGGGCCCUUACGGGGUAGGGGCUACACACGUGCUACAAU